AAUCAACGCUGGCGGCGUGCCUCAGACAUGCAAGUCGAACGCGAAACCCUCCUUCGGGAGGGGAGUAGAGUGGCGCACGGGUGAGUAACACGUAGGUAAUUUGCCUUCGGGUGGGGAAUAACAGCCGGAAACGGCUGCUAAUACCGCAUAAUGCAGCGGCUCGACAUCGAGACAGUUGUUAAAGCGGGGGAUCGCAAGACCUCGCGCCUGAAGAGAAGCCUGCGGCAGAUUAGCUAGUUGGUAGGGUAAUGGCCUACCAAGGCGACGAUCUGUAACCGGCCUGAGAGGGCGGUCGGUCACACUGACACUGACAUACGGGUCAGACUCCUACGGGAGGCAGCAGUCGGGAAUUUUGGGCAAUGGGCGAAAGCCUGACCCAGCAACGCCGCGUGAAGGAUGAAAUCCCUCGGGAUGUAAACUUCGCAAGAAUGGGAAGAAUAAGUGGGGGAUAAUACCCCCCAUGAUGACGGUACCAUUUGUAAGCUCCGGCUAACUCCGUGCCAGCCGCCGCCGUAACAC
Molecule: ribosomal RNA, 519 nt
Filed under: uncultured bacterium
Lineage: Bacteria
Description: bacterial SSU rRNA
Rfam family: Bacterial small subunit ribosomal RNA
Source: RNAcentral